UGCGCAGGCGGGAGAUUAAGUCGGCGGUGAAAUUUUGCAGCUUAACUGUAAAAGUGCCUUCGAAACUGGUUUCCUUGAGUGUAGAUGAAGUAGGCGGAAUUUGUGGUGUAGCGGUGAAAUGCAUAGAUAUCACGAGGAACUCCGAUUGCGCAGGCAGCUUACUAAACUACUACUGACGCUCAGGCACGAAGGCGUGGGGAUCAAACA
Molecule: ribosomal RNA, 207 nt
Filed under: uncultured Porphyromonadaceae bacterium
Lineage: Bacteria; Pseudomonadati; Bacteroidota; Bacteroidia; Bacteroidales; Porphyromonadaceae
Description: partial 16S ribosomal RNA
Rfam family: Bacterial small subunit ribosomal RNA
Source: RNAcentral